CUAGCACUUUCACAGGUCCUCCCCUAGGCAGUGGGGCCAGGAUUUGGUAGCUGGUGCUGAAAGAAAUCCUUGACUGCAUCCUUGCCCUGGUGCUGUACCAGUGGUAGCUGUCCAUUGGGACACAG
Fukomys damarensis (Damara mole-rat) is the source of this 125-nucleotide small nucleolar RNA. The record is from Ensembl. NCBI's taxonomy places the organism in Eukaryota, Metazoa, Chordata, Mammalia, Rodentia, Bathyergidae.